AACGAACGCUGGCGGCAGGCUUAACACAUGCAAGUCGAGCGCUUCACUUCGGUGAGGAGCGGCGGACGGGUGAGUAACGCGUGGGAACGUACCCUUUACUUCGGAAUAGCCACUGGAAACGGUGAGUAAUACCGGAUGCGCCCUUAGGGGGAAAGAUUUAUCGGUAAAGGAUCGGCCCGCGUUAGAUUAGGUAGUUGGUGGGGUAAUGGCCUACCAAGCCUACGAUCUAUAGCUGGUUUGAGAGGAUGAUCAGCCACACUGGGACUGAGACACGGCCCAG
RNAcentral lists this ribosomal RNA (280 nucleotides) under uncultured bacterium. RNAcentral describes it as "partial 16S ribosomal RNA". It matches the Rfam family "Bacterial small subunit ribosomal RNA", at positions 29 to 334 of the family's 1533-position model. The record is from RNAcentral.